GAGCGGCGGACGGGUGAGUAAUGCCUAGGAAAUUGCCCUGAUGUGGGGGAUAACCAUUGGAAACGAUGGCUAAUACCGCAUAAUACCUUCGGGCCAAAGAGGGGGACCUUCGGGCCUCUCGCGUCAGGAUAUGCCUAGGUGGGAUUAGCUAGUUGGUGAGGUAAGGGCUCACCAAGGCGACGAUCCCUAGCUGGUCUGAGAGGAUGAUCAGCCACACUGGAACUGAGACACGGUCCAGACUCCUACGGGAGGCAGCAGUGGGGAAUAUUGCACAAUGGGCGCAAGCCUGAUGCAGCCAUGCCGCGUGUGUGAAGAAGGCCUUCGGGUUGUAAAGCACUUUCAGUCGUGAGGAAGGUAGUGUAGUUAAUAGCUGCAUUAUUUGACGUUAGCGACAGAAGAAGCACCGGCUAACUCCGUGCCAGCAGCCGCGGUAAUACGGAGGGUGCGAGCGUUAAUCGGAAUUACUGGGCGUAAAGCGCAUGCAGGUGGUUUGUUAAGUCAGAUGUGAAAGCCCGGGGCUCAACCUCGGAAUAGCAUUUGAAACUGGCAGACUAGAGUACUGUAGAGGGGGGUAGAAUUUCAGGUGUAGCGGUGAAAUGCGUAGAGAUCUGAAGGAAUACCGGUGGC
This 627-nucleotide ribosomal RNA is filed under the name Vibrio sp. S60. RNAcentral describes it as "bacterial SSU rRNA". It matches the Rfam family "Bacterial small subunit ribosomal RNA", at positions 93 to 716 of the family's 1533-position model. Lineage: Bacteria; Pseudomonadati; Pseudomonadota; Gammaproteobacteria; Vibrionales; Vibrionaceae. The record is from RNAcentral.